Oncorhynchus nerka (sockeye salmon) is the source of this 1376-nucleotide long non-coding RNA. RefSeq lists it as uncharacterized. The transcript has 2 exons. The record is from RefSeq and is a predicted model, not a curated record. NCBI's taxonomy places the organism in Eukaryota, Metazoa, Chordata, Actinopteri, Salmoniformes, Salmonidae.
CCUACCCCCAGCACCACUCAUAGACUUAUCCCCAGCACCACUCAUAGACCUAUCCCCAGCACCACUCAUAGACCUAUCCCCAGCACCACUCAUAGACCUAUCCCCAGCACCACUCAUAGACCUAUCCCCAGCACCACUCAUAGACCUAUCCCCAGCACCACUCAUAGACCUAUCCCCAGCACCACUCAUAGACCUAGCCCCAGCAGUAGACCCCUACCCAGGUGCUUCCACCAGAGCCAGCCCCUGCAGCCGUCCUCUUAGAGGGUAAAGGAGUGGAGCCAGCCCCUGCAGCCGUCCUCUUAGAGGGUAACGGAGUGGAGCCAGCCCCUAGCAGCAGCAUCCAUGGACCUGCUGGGCCUGAAAGAUAAAUGGAAUGAAGAGGGCCUUGACGAUCUGGACCUGGACAUCGACUUCUUAGACUGAAAGUGUUGGAGGAAUGUCCUUAAAGUGACUAAAGAACACGUGUUGUUCAUACUCCUAGUGAAACGGCGUGUGGGCGGGAGGUGGGGUUUUGACCUUUACAGUGAAACUGGUGAAAGUCGGGUGGAGCUGGUCUUUCGGUCUUUAAACUGUGAACCACAAUGCAAGGGGGUUUGUAGAACGCUUUGGGUGAGAAUGGAUGGACAGGGUCCCAUUCAUUAGGAACAAACGUAGGAAAUGUUUUGCAGCGGGAAAAAAUAUAUAUAUAUUUUUGAACAGGUACAAAUUUACUGUGUCGAAUCAAUUUCUGGUUAAAUGCUGAACGCGACUCCGGGGAGUAUUCAUUAGUCAGAUUUCAUUGCAUAACAUUUGGUCUGUUGCUAAAUGUUUUUGCAAUGGAUAACAAGUUUCUGUUGGACAAAUUCAAGUAGGUCCCUCCCCAUUUUGUUUUUUUUGCUUCCUAGAGUAAACUCUUUCCUUUGCAAAACAUUUAGCAACAGAAUCCAACUAAUAAAUACACCCCGAUUUUGAAAUCCUUUGUGCGGUACCUCAUCGUCCACUCUCACAUUGACCCACAGUAUAGAAUGAAAUGUAGUGUGAACCAGAGGGGGUCAUUGGGUUGAAAUGUUUACCUUAUCCAAUCACAUAGGAAGCUGGGAAUAGAGUAGUUCUCUACACUACGUCUUACCCCUAGAUAAGCAGGCUUACAGGGUCUAUCUUUCAUUAGUUAGGUUAGGUCCUCUCCACAGGUGUUGAGCUUGUGUUCAGUAUACCUCUACUUGUCUGGGCACGCAUGCUGCUCUGCCAUGGUCUAGUGCCUUAGGUCUCUGCUGUUUUUAAAGGGAACCUACUUCAUUGUUAUAGAUGUGAUUCCAAGUGCCUUCUGUAUGACUGGUCUGGAAAAGGGAAUGAAAUGUUAUCAACUCAAUAAAUAUGACAAGUGUUUGUCUGAAUCA